GAUGAACGCUGGCGGCGUGCCUAAUACAUGCGAGUCGAGCGUACAGACGAGGAGCUUGCUCCUCUGACGUUAGCGGCGGACGGGUGAGUAACACGUGGAUAACCUACCUAUAAGACUGGGAUAACUUCGGGAAACCGGAGCUAAUACCGGAUAACAUGUUGAACCGCAUGGUUCAACAGUGAAAGACGGUCUUGCUGUCACUUAUAGAUGGAUCCGCGCCGCAUUAGCUAGUUGGUAAGGUAACGGCUUACCAAGGCAACGAUGCGUAGCCGACCUGAGAGGGUGAUCGGCCACACUGGAACUGAGACACGGUCCAGACUCCUACGGGAGGCAGCAGUAGGGAAUCUUCCGCAAUGGGCGAAAGCCUGACGGAGCAACGCCGCGUGAGUGAAGAAGGUCUUCGGAUCGUAAAACUCUGUUAUUAGGGAAGAACAAAUGUGUAAGUAACUAUGCACGUCUUGACGGUACCUAAUCAGAAAGCCACGGCUAACUACGUG
Molecule: ribosomal RNA, 497 nt
Filed under: uncultured bacterium
Lineage: Bacteria
Description: partial 16S ribosomal RNA
Rfam family: Bacterial small subunit ribosomal RNA
Source: RNAcentral